GAUCUCAACAUGGACUGGUUACGUCUAGGCUUAGUGCUGCUUAUGAUUGUGGGGAGUAUAGAGGCUCAACAAGGCUACAACUACCCUAAGCCAAAAACUCCCUUUGUGGACAACAGACGACCUAAAUUUAUUGGAGGAUUGUCAACAGAUACAACUCAAGGUGCUCAA
Long non-coding RNA from Anoplophora glabripennis (Asian longhorned beetle), 168 nucleotides. RefSeq lists it as uncharacterized. The record is from RefSeq and is a predicted model, not a curated record. Lineage: Eukaryota; Metazoa; Arthropoda; Insecta; Coleoptera; Cerambycidae. The transcript is spliced from 3 exons.